CUGUUGUUAUUUAUAGCUCAGUCGGUAGAGUAUGAGAAGCUUAAUCUCAGGGUCAUGGGUUCGAGUUUCCUGCAUUGCAGG
Podarcis lilfordi (Lilford's wall lizard) is the source of this 81-nucleotide non-coding RNA. NCBI's taxonomy places the organism in Eukaryota, Metazoa, Chordata, Lepidosauria, Squamata, Lacertidae. The record is from the annotation of a GenBank genome assembly.